This 497-nucleotide ribosomal RNA is filed under the name uncultured bacterium. RNAcentral describes it as "bacterial SSU rRNA". It matches the Rfam family "Bacterial small subunit ribosomal RNA", at positions 66 to 543 of the family's 1533-position model. The record is from RNAcentral.
ACGCGAAGCCCCCUUCGGGGGGCAAGUAGAGUGGCGCACGGGUGAGUAACACGUAGGUAAUCUACCUUUGGAUGGGGAAUAACCACCGGAAACGGUGGCUAAUACCGCAUAAUGCAGCGGCACCUAAUGGUGACAGUUGUUAAAGCGGGGGAUCGCAAGACCUCGCGUCUGAAGAGGAGCCUGCGGCAGAUUAGCUAGUUGGUAAGGUAACGGCUUACCAAGGCGAUGAUCUGUAGCCGGCCUGAGAGGGCGGUCGGCCACACUGACACUGACAUACGGGUCAGACUCCUACGGGAGGCAGCAGUCGGGAAUUUUGGGCAAUGGGCGAAAGCCUGACCCAGCAACGCCGCGUGAAGGAUGAAAUCCCUCGGGAUGUAAACUUCGCAAGAACGGGAAGAAUAAGCCGGUGACAACACCACCGGCGAUGACGGUACCGUUUGUAAGCUCCGGCUAACUCCGUGCCAGCAGCCGCGGUAAUACGGGGGGAGCAAGCGUUG